This 381-nucleotide long non-coding RNA is filed under the name Coffea arabica (coffee). Its description in RNAcentral is "long non-coding RNA (CARA_LNC006100)". Lineage: Eukaryota; Viridiplantae; Streptophyta; Magnoliopsida; Gentianales; Rubiaceae. The record is from RNAcentral.
CAGAGUGGUAUUAUAUUACUGUAGUACAAUCUGUGAAUCCAAAUUUCCCCACGAACUUUGCAUCUUUUCAAAGUUAAAAUUUUAGGUUUCAGGGGCUGCCUGAUUUGUGUUUCACUCUAUUUCAAGAGGCUAAUUCAGAUCUAUCAUCUCCUCUCCCCAUUGUAUUCUGCCUCCAAUCUUCGCUGUUCUGGCUCUCUGAAGAAUCAUUUACAUAUGCCUACUUUUGAAACAGGCAAAUGCUCUUGAAACAAGAUUGGAAUAGAUGCUAAGUCCAUUUUCUUUCUAGUGGAAUAUUAUGUUCCGGCAACUAAAGCCCCUAGAGAACAUGCUGAUCGCGAACAAACGAGAGACUAGAAAAAUGAUGCUUUUCUUUACUCCCCC